Oreochromis niloticus (Nile tilapia) is the source of this 568-nucleotide RNA transcript. RefSeq lists it as uncharacterized. The transcript is spliced from 7 exons. NCBI's taxonomy places the organism in Eukaryota, Metazoa, Chordata, Actinopteri, Cichliformes, Cichlidae. The record is from RefSeq and is a predicted model, not a curated record.
AUGCCCAGCCACCGACAGACAACCCAAGUACAACUUCCAUUCCAUUUUCACAGGAUGUAAACAACAGAGCAACACAAAAAACAAAUGAGAAAGCAAAGAAGAUGACAACACAAAGUACAACACAGAAAGCAAUUGUAAAAAUGAUGACAACACAAAGUACGACAAAGAAAGUCAAUGUUAAUUCACCUGAGAAGAUGAUGACGACACAAAGUGCAACUCAGAAAGGAUAUAGCUGUCCUGUAGGAUGGCUGAGGGCAGGAUCCAACUGUUACUAUCAAUUAAAUGAGAGGAGAAGUUCGCAGGAGAAUGAAUCAGACUGCCAGAGGAAAGGAGGAAGUCUAAUUGUCGUAAAUAGUAGAGAAAAACAGAGAAUACUUAAUGGUGAAACAACUAAGGAAGUUCAGCAGUGUGGGAUAAAAUGAAAAAAAUGCAACAUGUCUUUAUCCUGUCUUCUUCCCCUCACCCCAACCAGUCACAGCAGAUCGCCGCCCUACCCUCAGCCUGGUUCUGCUGGAGGUUUCUUCCUGCUGAAAGGGAAUUCUUCCUUCCCAGUCUCAAGAAAUUGCUU